GUGGGGAAUAUUGGGCAAUGGGGGAAACCCUGACCCAGCAACGCCGCGUGAGUGAAGAAGGCCUUCGGGUUGUAAAGCUCUGUCAUUAGGGAAGAAGAAGUGACGGUACCUAAUGAGGAAGCCCCGGCUAACUACGUGCCAGCAGCCGCGGUAAUACGUAGGGGGCGAGCGUUGUCCGGAAUUACUGGGCGUAAAGGGUGCGUAGGCGGCGUGUUAAGUUGGAUGUGAAAUACCCGGGCUUAACCUGGGGGGUGCAUUCGAUACUGGCAGGCUAGAGUGCAGGAGAGGGAAGCGGAAUUCCUAGUGUAGCGGUGAAAUGCGUAGAUAUUAGGAGGAACACCAGUGGCGAAGGCGGCUUUCUGGACUGUAACUGACGCUGAUGCACGAAAGCGUGGGGAGCAAACAGGAUUAGAAACCCUUGUAGUCC
This 427-nucleotide ribosomal RNA is filed under the name uncultured bacterium. Its description in RNAcentral is "partial 16S ribosomal RNA". It matches the Rfam family "Bacterial small subunit ribosomal RNA", at positions 354 to 796 of the family's 1533-position model. The record is from RNAcentral.